AUACGUUGGUGGCGAGCGUUAUCCGGAUUUACUGGGUGUAAAGGGCGUGUAGGCGGGUUUGCAAGUCGGAUGUGAAAUUUAUGGGCUUAACCCAUAACCUGCAUUUGAAACUACAUGUCUUGAGUGAUGGAGAGGUAAGUGGAAUUCCUAGUGUAGCGGUGGAAUGCGUAGAUAUUAGGAGGAACACCAGUGGCGAAGGCGACUUACUGGACAUUAACUGACGCUGAGGCGCGAAAGCGUGGGGAGC
This 247-nucleotide ribosomal RNA is filed under the name uncultured bacterium. RNAcentral's name for it is "partial 16S ribosomal RNA". It matches the Rfam family "Bacterial small subunit ribosomal RNA", at positions 523 to 769 of the family's 1533-position model. The record is from RNAcentral.